Molecule: long non-coding RNA, 208 nt
Filed under: Elaeis guineensis (African oil palm)
Lineage: Eukaryota; Viridiplantae; Streptophyta; Magnoliopsida; Arecales; Arecaceae
Description: long non-coding RNA (EGUI_LNC023685)
Source: RNAcentral
CCCCUCAGAUGGUUUUCACAUAUCCCCUCAUGUACUUCUCGAAGUACAUAGUCAACUUCAUAUGAUGAUAAGCAUUGAAGUAAAGGAGGAGAAUAAGACUUUUUAUAUAAGCGUUCUUCUUGAAGAACAUACCAUGAAGUUUAUUUUUUAAUGCUUCUGGCCUUAGUUGGAUCAUUGGACAAAACUUUUUUAGAUAUAUAAUCCACAA